UUAACUGAAUCAGUGUAACAUAAUCACUCAGCCUCAGCUGCUGUACUCUGUACUAGUCACUAAAUUAGUAAAAUUAGUUUCACUACUACAUGAACUCAGAUAAUUGUUCAAUCUACGUUACAUCGAACUUGUAUCCGGCUUCCAAGUGAGACAUACUGGUGAUCCAAGUGACCAUCUUCAGAAUGGAAGAUGAAAAUAAUCAUAAUCAAGUAAAGUUCGAGUCUUCGAUAGGAAAUUUAAUUAUCUGGCUGGCCAAAGAACAGUCCUGGAUUGUCCUGCACACACAAGAUAUAAAGCAUGGGAUGAGGAGGCAAGCAAGAUUUAAAAGAAAACUAAGUAUCAAAUUCCAGUAAUUGCAAGCUAUAUAACAAAAAGGGAUGGCAUUAAUGUGGAGCUAGAUGGCCAUGCAUCCUAGCAACCAAGCAGUUGAACAACUCAGAGACUUAUCCACUAGUGCCCCCACCACAGAAGGUAUACAGUGUCAUAUAAUAUAGCUUCUUAGCAAUGUUUAUAUCUCUUGGUUGUUAAGAGGGGGUCACAUGUUGGCUCACUGUCCUGCUACUGUGUCCUAUGUGAUCAGUUGUUACUGCAAAUUCGAAUAUUAUACUUGCUCAGUUCUCAUCAGAGUUGAUGUGAUUCUUUUCCUAAGGGUUUGAUGUUAUAGAACAUAGACUAGCAGGAAUUUGUUUUACAAUUUACAUCAGUCAUUUUCAUGCAAAAGCUGUGAGAUCAUAGUAAAUACUAAUGAUGUGCAAAGUAAGUUUAAUUCAUUUAGAGUUCAAGCAUGUGCAUUAAGUAUGUGUACACAUGCC
RNAcentral lists this long non-coding RNA (812 nucleotides) under Daucus carota (carrot). RNAcentral describes it as "long non-coding RNA (DCAR_LNC002295)". Lineage: Eukaryota; Viridiplantae; Streptophyta; Magnoliopsida; Apiales; Apiaceae. The record is from RNAcentral.